GGUCAAGUGAAGAAGCGCAUACGGUGGAUGCCUUGGCAGUCAGAGGCGAUGAAAGACGUGGUAGCCUGCGAAAAGCUUCGGGGAGUCGGCAAACAGACUGUGAUCCGGAGAUGUCUGAAUGGGGGAACCCAGCCAUCAUAAGAUGGUUAUCUUGUACUGAAUACAUAGGUGCAAGAGGCGAACCAGGGGAACUGAAACAUCUAAGUACCCUGAGGAAAAGAAAUCAACCGAGAUUCCCUUAGUAGUGGCGAGCGAACGGGGACCAGCCCUUAAGUUGUAUUGAGAUUAGCGGAACGUUCUGGAAAGGACGGCCAUAGUGGGUGAUAGCCCUGUACGCGAAAAUCCCUUUGCAAUGAAAUCGAGUAGGACGGGGCACGAGAAACCUUGUCUGAAUAUGGGGGGACCAUCCUCCAAGGCUAAAUACUACUGACUGACCGAUAGUGAACCAGUACCGUGAGGGAAAGGCGAAAAGAACCGCGGAGAGCGGAGUGAAAUAGAUCCUGAAACCGUAUGCGUACAAGCAGUGGGAGCCCACUUUGUUGGGUGACUGCGUACCUUUUGUAUAAUGGGUCAGCGACUUAUUUUCAGUGGCGAGCUUAACCGAAUAGGGGAGGCGUAGCGAAAGCGAGUCUUAAUAGGGCGUCUAGUCGCUGGGAAUAGACCCGAAACCGGGCGAUCUAUCCAUGGGCAGGUUGAAGGUUGGGUAACACUAACUGGAGGACCGAACCGACUACCGUUGAAAAGUUAGCGGAUGACCUGUGGAUCGGAGUGAAAGGCUAAUCAAGCUCGGAGAUAGCUGGUUCUCCUCGAAAGCUAUUUAGGUAGCGCCUCAUGUAUCACUGUAGGGGGUAGAGCACUGUUUCGGCUAGGGGGUCAUCCCGACUUACCAAACCGAUGCAAACUCCGAAUACCUACAAGUGCCGAGCAUGGGAGACACACGGCGGGUGCUAACGUCCGUCGUGAAAAGGGAAACAACCCAGACCGUCAGCUAAGGUCCCAAAGUCAUGGUUAAGUGGGAAACGAUGUGGGAAGGCUUAGACAGCUAGGAGGUUGGCUUAGAAGCAGCCACCCUUUAAAGAAAGCGUAAUAGCUCACUAGUCGAGUCGGCCUGCGCGGAAGAUGUAACGGGGCUCAAACCAUGCACCGAAGCUACGGGUAUCAUCUUUUGAUGAUGCGGUAGAGGAGCGUUCUGUAAGCCUGUGAAGGUGAGUUGAGAAGCUUGCUGGAGGUAUCAGAAGUGCGAAUGCUGACAUGAGUAACGACAAUGGGUGUGAAAAACACCCACGCCGAAAGACCAAGGUUUCCUGCGCAACGUUAAUCGACGCAGGGUUAGUCGGUCCCUAAGGCGAGGCUGAAAAGCGUAGUCGAUGGAAAACAGGUUAAUAUUCCUGUACUUCUGGUUAUUGCGAUGGAGGGACGGAGAAGGCUAGGCCAGCCUGGCGUUGGUUGUCCAGGUUUAAGGUGGUAGGCUGAGAUCUUAGGUAAAUCCGGGAUCUUAAGGCCGAGAGCUGAUGACGAGUGUUCUUUAGAACACGAAGUGGUUGAUGCCAUGCUUCCAAGAAAAGCUUCUAAGCUUCAGGUAACCAGGAACCGUACCCCAAACCGACACAGGUGGUUGGGUAGAGAAUACCAAGGCGCUUGAGAGAACUCGGGUGAAGGAACUAGGCAAAAUGGCACCGUAACUUCGGGAGAAGGUGCGCCGGUGAGGGUGAAGCAUUUACUGCGUAAGCCCAUGCCGGUCGAAGAUACCAGGCCGCUGCGACUGUUUAUUAAAAACACAGCACUCUGCAAACACGAAAGUGGACGUAUAGGGUGUGACGCCUGCCCGGUGCCGGAAGGUUAAUUGAUGGGGUUAGCGCAAGCGAAGCUCUUGAUCGAAGCCCCGGUAAACGGCGGCCGUAACUAUAACGGUCCUAAGGUAGCGAAAUUCCUUGUCGGGUAAGUUCCGACCUGCACGAAUGGCGUAACGAUGGCGGCGCUGUCUCCACCCGAGACUCAGUGAAAUUGAAAUCGCUGUGAAGAUGCAGUGUAUCCGCGGCUAGACGGAAAGACCCCGUGAACCUUUACUAUAGCUUUGCACUGGACUUUGAAUUUGCUUGUGUAGGAUAGGUGGGAGGCUUUGAAGCGUGGACGCCAGUCUGCGUGGAGCCAACCUUGAAAUACCACCCUGGCAACUUUGAGGUUCUAACUCAGGUCCGUUAUCCGGAUCGAGGACAGUGUAUGGUGGGUAGUUUGACUGGGGCGGUCUCCUCCUAAAGAGUAACGGAGGAGUACGAAGGUGCGCUCAGACCGGUCGGAAAUCGGUCGUAGAGUAUAAAGGCAAAAGCGCGCUUGACUGCGAGACAGACACGUCGAGCAGGUACGAAAGUAGGUCUUAGUGAUCCGGUGGUUCUGUAUGGAAGGGCCAUCGCUCAACGGAUAAAAGGUACUCCGGGGAUAACAGGCUGAUACCGCCCAAGAGUUCAUAUCGACGGCGGUGUUUGGCACCUCGAUGUCGGCUCAUCACAUCCUGGGGCUGAAGCCGGUCCCAAGGGUAUGGCUGUUCGCCAUUUAAAGUGGUACGCGAGCUGGGUUUAGAACGUCGUGAGACAGUUCGGUCCCUAUCUGCCGUGGACGUUUGAGAUUUGAGAGGGGCUGCUCCUAGUACGAGAGGACCGGAGUGGACGAACCUCUGGUGUUCCGGUUGUCACGCCAGUGGCAUUGCCGGGUAGCUAUGUUCGGAAAAGAUAACCGCUGAAAGCAUCUAAGCGGGAAACUUGCCUCAAGAUGAGAUCUCACUGGAACCUUGAGUUCCCUGAAGGGCCGUCGAAGACUACGACGUUGAUAGGUUGGGUGUGUAAGCGCUGUGAGGCGUUGAGCUAACCAAUACUAAUUGCCCGUGAGGCUUGACCAU
Molecule: ribosomal RNA, 2893 nt
Filed under: Pseudomonas syringae
Lineage: Bacteria; Pseudomonadati; Pseudomonadota; Gammaproteobacteria; Pseudomonadales; Pseudomonadaceae
Description: 23S ribosomal RNA
Rfam family: Bacterial large subunit ribosomal RNA
Source: RNAcentral